RNAcentral lists this ribosomal RNA (770 nucleotides) under uncultured organism. Its description in RNAcentral is "SSU rRNA". It matches the Rfam family "Bacterial small subunit ribosomal RNA", at positions 693 to 1463 of the family's 1533-position model. The record is from RNAcentral.
GAUAUAUGGAAGAACACCAGUGGCGAAGGCGGCUGUCUGGUCUGCAACUGACGCUGAGGCUCGAAAGCAUGGGUAGCGAACAGGAUUAGAUACCCUGGUAGUCCAUGCCGUAAACGAUGAGUGCUAGGUGUUGGAGGGUUUCCGCCCUUCAGUGCCGAAGCUAACGCAUUAAGCACUCCGCCUGGAGAGUACGACCGCAAGGUUGAAACUCAAAGGAAUUGACGGGGGCCCGCACAAGCGGUGGAGCAUGUGGUUUAAUUCGAAGCUACGCGAAGAACCUUACCAGGUCUUGACAUCUUGCGCCAACCUCAGAGAUGAGGCGUUCCCUUCGGGGACGCAAAGACAGGUGGUGCAUGGUCGUCGUCAGCUCGUGUCGUGAGAUGUUGGGUUAAGUCCCGCAACGAGCGCAACCCUUGUUACUAGUUGCCAGCAUUCAGUUGGGCACUCUAGUGAGACUGCCGGUGACAAACCGGAGGAAGGUGGGGACGACGUCAGAUCAUCAUGCCCCUUAUGACCUGGGCUACACACGUGCUACAAUGGCCGGUACAACGAGCAGCUAACCCGCGAGGGUGUGCAAAUCUCUUAAAGCCGGUCUCAGUUCGGACUGCAGUCUGCAACUCGACUGCACGAAGUCGGAAUCGCUAGUAAUCGCGGAUCAGCAUGCCGCGGUGAAUACGUUCCCGGGCCUUGUACACACCGCCCGUCACACCAUGGAAGUUUGUAACGCCCAAAGUCGGUGGCCUAACCAUUUGGAGGGAGCCGCCUAAGGC